UACGUGGGGUGCGAGCGUUGUCCGGAUUUAUUGGGCGUAAAGAGCUCGUAGGCGGUUUGUCGCGUCGGCCGUGAAAUCUCCACGCUCAACGUGGAGGGGCCAUUCGAAACUGCCGUGACUCGAGUCCGGUAGGGGAGUGUGGAAUUCCCGGUGUAGCGGUGAAAUGCGCAGAUAUCAGGAAGAACACCUAUGGCGAAGGCAGCUCUCUGGGACGGUACUGACGCUGAGACGCGAAAGCGUGGGGAGCAAACAGG
This 254-nucleotide ribosomal RNA is filed under the name uncultured bacterium. Its description in RNAcentral is "partial 16S ribosomal RNA". It matches the Rfam family "Bacterial small subunit ribosomal RNA", at positions 524 to 776 of the family's 1533-position model. The record is from RNAcentral.